AUAGCGUAUAUUAAAGUUGUUGCAGUUAAAAAGCUCGUAGUUGGAUCUCAGUUCCAGACGGGUGGUCCGCCAAACGGUGGUUACUGCCCGUUCUGAACAGCCAGCCGGUUUCUCUUGAUGAUCUUCACCGGUUGUCUCGGGUGACCGGCAAGUUUACUUUGAAAAAAUUAGAGUGCUCAAAGCAGGCGCGACGCCUGAAUAAUGGUGCAUGGAAUAAUGGAAUAGGACCUCGGUUCUAUUUUGUUGGUUUUCGGAACACGAGGUAAUGAUUAAGAGGGACAGACGGGGGCAUUCGUAUCGCUGCGUGAGAGGUGAAAUUCUUGGACCGCAGCGAGACGCCCUACUG
Molecule: ribosomal RNA, 346 nt
Filed under: Piratula tanakai
Lineage: Eukaryota; Metazoa; Arthropoda; Arachnida; Araneae; Lycosidae
Description: SSU rRNA
Rfam family: Eukaryotic small subunit ribosomal RNA
Source: RNAcentral